AACGCUAGCUACAGGCUUAACACAUGCAAGUCGAGGGGCAGCACGAACUUAGCUUGCUAAGUUUGAUGGCGACCGGCGCACGGGUGAGUAACACGUAUCCAACCUGCCGAUGACUCGGGGAUAGCCUUUCGAAAGAAAGAUUAAUACCCGAUGGCAUAAUUCUUCCGCAUGGUAGAAUUAUUAAAGAAUUUCGGUCAUCGAUGGGGAUGCGUUCCAUUAGGUUGUUGGCGGGGUAACGGCCCACCAAGCCUUCGAUGGAUAGGGGUUCUGAGAGGAAGGUCCCCCACAUUGGAACUGAGACACGGUCCAAACUCCUACGGGAGGCAGCAGUGAGGAAUAUUGGUCAAUGGACGAGAGUCUGAACCAGCCAAGUAGCGUGAAGGAUGACUGCCCUAUGGGUUGUAAACUUCUUUUAUACGGGAAUAAAGUGAAGCACGCGUGCCUUUUCGUAUGUACCGUAUGAAUAAGGAUCGGCUAACUCCGUGCCAGCAGCCGCGGUAAUACGGAGGAUCCGAGCGUUAUCCGGAUUUAUUGGGUUUAAAGGGAGCGUAGGCGGACGCUUAAGUCAGUUGUGAAAGUUUGCGGCUCAACCGUAAAAUUGCAGUUGAUACUGGGUGUCUUGAGUACAGUAGAGGCAGGCGGAAUUCGUGGUGUAGCGGUGAAAUGCUUAGAUAUCACGAAGAACUCCGAUUG
This 693-nucleotide ribosomal RNA is filed under the name uncultured bacterium. Its description in RNAcentral is "bacterial SSU rRNA". It matches the Rfam family "Bacterial small subunit ribosomal RNA", at positions 32 to 715 of the family's 1533-position model. The record is from RNAcentral.